Molecule: ribosomal RNA, 411 nt
Filed under: Delftia sp.
Lineage: Bacteria; Pseudomonadati; Pseudomonadota; Betaproteobacteria; Burkholderiales; Comamonadaceae
Description: bacterial SSU rRNA
Rfam family: Bacterial small subunit ribosomal RNA
Source: RNAcentral
GCUGACGAGUGGCGAACGGGUGAGUAAUACAUCGGAACGUGCCCAGUCGUGGGGGAUAACUACUCGAAAGAGUAGCUAAUACCGCAUACGAUCUGAGGAUGAAAGCGGGGGACCUUCGGGCCUCGCGCGAUUGGAGCGGCCGAUGGCAGAUUAGGUAGUUGGUGGGAUAAAAGCUUACCAAGCCGACGAUCUGUAGCUGGUCUGAGAGGACGACCAGCCACACUGGGACUGAGACACGGCCCAGACUCCUACGGGAGGCAGCAGUGGGGAAUUUUGGACAAUGGGCGAAAGCCUGAUCCAGCAAUGCCGCGUGCAGGAUGAAGGCCUUCGGGUUGUAAACUGCUUUUGUACGGAACGAAAAAGCUCCUUCUAAUACAGGGGGCCCAUGACGGUACCGUAAGAAUAAGCACC